Molecule: ribosomal RNA, 224 nt
Filed under: uncultured bacterium
Lineage: Bacteria
Description: partial 16S ribosomal RNA
Rfam family: Bacterial small subunit ribosomal RNA
Source: RNAcentral
UGAGUAACACGUAUCCAACCUGCCUCUCUCUUGGACAGCCUUCUGAAGGAAGAUUAAUACAAGAUGGCAUCAUGAGUUCACAUGUUCACAUGAUUAAAGGUAUUCCGGUAGACGAUGGGGAUGCGUUCCAUUAGAUAGUAGGCGGGGUAACGGCCCACCUAGUCUUCGAUGGAUAGGGGUUCUGAGAGGAAGGUCCCCCACAUUGGAACUGAGACACGGUCCAA